UUUUAUUUUUCUUUCUUGCCGGAAAGGCCACGAAUAGAGUUCGAGCAACAUGCCCUGAAAAUAGCCUUUGCGGAUAGAUUUUCAAAAUCCCAAAGGAUCUCUAAGCCAAGAUGAUCUCCCAAUUUUGAAAGUAGCCGUUGCUGCUGAUCGAGAAUUCAAAAUUCAAAAUUCCAGACACUCCGAAGGCAAAAACCAUUAACGGUAUAAAAUUUCCCUAAUAUUUCAUUCUCUCUCCAAUUCUUUCGCUCAGUUUCAAAAUUCCAGAUGUUCCCAAGCAAAAAUAAUCUUCCAAUUUUGAAACUAGCCGUUGCUGCUGAUCGAAUUUCAAAUUUCAAAAUCUAGACGCUCCUAUUGUCCCCCAAAAAAAAAAAAGAAAAAAAGAUCCAGAUGCUUUUAAGCCGAAAACCAAUUAUGUUUUUUGGAGUUCGAUGCAGAGGUUCAUUUGGGCCAUUCAACAUCCUGCAAGCGGAUAUUUUCUGGGAAUCAAUGAUCUUGUUACACCAUUUUUCUCUCUGUUUAGAGGAUGAUUCAACAGAUUUCUUCAGGACCGUUCAGAAUCCUGCAAGCUGGUAUAUUCAGGCAAUAACUGAUCUUGUUACAGAUUUCUUCAGGUAAUGUUGACUUCUUACUUGAUAUGUUCACAGAAUAAUGAUCCUGUUACACCAUUUUCAGUUGUUUUUAUGUCAUAAAGUACAUGGAAGGGAAUGUCAAUUGGUGCAUUUCUAAUCUUACCCCCAAAAAAAUCAAGGCUGAGGAGCUUUCAACAGAUUUCUUCAGGUAAUGGUUAUUUCUUACUUGAUAUUGUUGCACUAUUACACUAUUUGUAGUUGUUUUUUUGUCAGAGUACUUGGAAGGGAAUGUGCAAAAUUGGUUUACUACCAUUGUCAACUCCGCAAAUUUUAGCAUCUUGCGAGAAUCCAUGUUCAGGGAAUAGAUGAUCCUGUUACUAGUGCCCCUGACGAGCUUUCAACAGAAUUCUUCAGGUAAUGGUGACUUCUUUCUCUUGGAGUUGUUUUUCUGUCAGAGUACUUGGAAGGCAAUGUGCAAAAUUGGUUUAUUUAUUUUCUAACUCCUGAAAUUAUAUCUAUAGUGGUUGAUGAGCUUUCAUCAGAUUUCGUCAGGUAAGUGAUAGACUUCUUUCUCUUUCAAUUGUGAAUAUUGAUUGGAAAAACGAUGAAAAAGCAUAUUUUCCUUCUUAAAUUAGAGCUCAAUGUUUAUUUAAAUUGUAAAUUUAUAUCUGUUUUGAUUGUUCAAGAACUGUACUGGAUAUCUCAUUCUUUCAGCGAGUACAAGUCCAGAAAUUCUUGGAGCGCAUGCUCCGUACAUGGUUUGUUUUGAGGAACAGAUGAAUGGUUGUAAAUUUCCAUGGAUUGGAUUUUCUCUUUCUUGCUUUUAAAUUUUCUCUCAAUUGAUAUUAGGUCAUCUAUGACUUCUAUAGAUUUUCAGAUAUGGUCUGAAUAUAUUCAGUGAACAAAUAAUCUGAUACCUGAUUCAUUUUAGAUCCAAGAGUAACCAGCACUACCAAUGUCAACUCCACAAAUUUUAGCAUCUUGCAAGAAUCCAUGUUCAGGGAAUAAACGAUCUUGUUACUGGUGCCCCUGACAAGCUUUCAACAGAAUUCUUCAGAAUACUUUGAAGGGAGUGCACAGAAUUGGUCUAUUUCUGAAGUAACUCCAGAAAAAAUAUCUAACAUAGAGGCUGAUGAGCUUUCAACAGAUUUCUACAGAACCACGCACGCGCCAGCCAGUGACGAGCGGAGGGAGGAGGCGAGCUCAGCCGCCAAUUUUCACGGUCACCGGCCGCCGGACGCGGGCCGAUCGGGCCGGAGAAGCCGCCGGUCGGCAAAAUUUCUCUCUCCUCUUUUCUUGUGUUUUUCGGCCAGCCCAGUCCGAAUUAAACCUCCUCUCCCCCUAUUUUGGGUCAUCUGAGUUCAAAAAUGGCCUCCAAUCUCAAAAAUUCGAAGCGGUUUGCGAGAUACGAGUGAAUUGAAAACCGGCCGAAACUUUCCGGCCAAAUUCCGACCACCUCCGGCGGAAUUGGGGUCGAUGGAGACCGGUAAUGCGCUCCUCGUUCCACAAGCUUCGAUUCGGUAUAUUAUUCGACUAUUUUGGUUAACGUUUGUGUUUUGACCCCCCGGGUACCGGGUAUUAUUUAACCGAUUAAAAUAUUAAUUUAUUUGACUGUCUGUGAAUUUUGUUCUAGGAGUACCGAUGAGUCGUAGAAUUGAUCCCGUAGUGGAUCAUGGGUUAAUUGCGUGCUCCAGGUGAGUGACCCACUUUUAAAAAAUAUUUUUGGGGUAAUUAAUUGUAUUUAUGUGGUAUUAAUUUGAUAUGUGUAAUUGGUGCUCAUGUGGUGUACUUUAAAUAUAAUCGGGAAAAAAUAUUAUUUUAUAUAUAUAUUUACCCAUUGGUGCUAAAUGAAAUUUUGGGGUCAUUAAGAAAUUCUCGAUUAUUAUUUUAUUGUGAUUAAAUGGUAUUUAUUACACAUGAGCAAGUAUUUUCAGUAAUUGAUUGUCUGGAUUUUAUAUCAUUUUUGGGCAAUUAAUUAUGUUUAAUUGGUAUUUAAAUUAUGCUCAUGUGGUACAAAUUGGUUAUGGUUUUAUUGUGGUUUAAUUUAUUAUUAUGCAUGAGCAAAGUGUAUUUCGGUAGUAUUUGUACGUAGUUUUAAGUAAUAUUUUUCGGGCAUAAUUGGGUUAAAUAUUUUACGAAAAUAUUUGUUUAAAUUUUAUAAAUUAUGCCCGCGGUAUUUUUAUGGUUGCAUUUCGUACUUCGAAAAAAUUGUGGUUUGUUGGUUAUCAAUGUUUCGUACCGGUUUAUUAAAUAAAAAUAUAUGGGAUGGUAAGUGUGAGAAUUUAAUGUAUUUCUCACGGUAAUUUUUGGAAAAACGGUACGGUUGGUUAAUAAUGUUUAUUUUUAGACGCACUCAUACAGUAUUGGUGUUCUGGUGUAUGGUGUAUGGACACGUGGUAGCGCGCAGGUAUUAUGUGGUUUAGCGCGCGGUUAUUACUUCACCCGUGAGUUGCCAUUGGACCGUGGGCAGACAAGUUUGCUAUUGCGCACAGCCGCCACCCUCCUUGGCCGGGUGAUGGUUUUAGCAGCGGUACUGUCGGGACGCCGAAGUGCCGUUGCAGGUUUCUCUCUUUAACCUCUCCGCCAGUCGGUGCUUGGGAUGCUGGGUAUCGGAGGGCAUCACCGGUAUAUGGUGUGGUGCGUCAGGUGUAAUUUUUAAAUAAAGUUUCAAACCCCAAAUGGUACAAAAUUAUUUAUUAUAAUUUAUUGCAGUUUAUUUAUAUUUGGGGUAUUUAUUUAUUUAUUUAUUUGUUGUUUAUUAAAUUAUUUGGUUCAUUGGUUUUCGGGAAGUACGAAUAUCGGGUUUUGUGAAAAUGUUUUAAAAGGGGAACAUUUCCAACGGAGUGAAUAGUGAGGGUUUUGAGAGAAAGUAUUACUUCAAUUGUUUAUUUAUUUAAUUGUUCGGUACUGGUUAAUUAAAUUCCUUUAUUUUUAUAUUAUUAAUAUUAAAGGUGUAUAGUAGAUAGGGUCACUCACUGAGAUGAUUAGCAUAUCACACUCUUAAAUUCCGUUCCCCUAGGUCCAGGUUGGAGACGUUGAUUGUCCGGGGCGAGCCCAACGUCUCAGUUCGUUGCCGAAGGUUCAAGAAGUUUUUCUUCCCUUUUCUCCUCUCUGUCUUGUAUUGCUUCCUUAUCUGUCAUUUUAUAAAUUCCACACUUAUCUGUAUAAUGCUCUGUAUACUGUAUUGGACGUGUAGUUGUUCUUUAUUUAUGCACUGGGUUGCUGCUGUUAUCUUUUGAAGUGCUGAAAUUUGUGGAAUCAAUCUGUAGUAACGUGGGAGGAAUAAGGGGAUGUUUUUAGAAGUGUGUUUUCAGUGCAGGUAAUUUUUGGUUAGUCCUACCCUUAGGGGAGGUGUUGCCGAAUUUUCCGUUGGAAGGUUCGGUGGUAUUUCCCUAGGAUCAGCGCUUGUCUAGGGUUCCGGGGAAGGAAUUUUGGACGGGUCCUGACACUUUAUGUAAAUUUCUCAUAAAAGCUCUACUUAUUCUUACAUUUGUGAAUCUAAAAUUUCAACUUUUUUUUUCUAAGAUCAAUAAGCUCCAACUUAUUUUGUAA
Molecule: long non-coding RNA, 4121 nt
Organism: Ziziphus jujuba (common jujube)
Lineage: Eukaryota; Viridiplantae; Streptophyta; Magnoliopsida; Rosales; Rhamnaceae
Exons: 8
Source: RefSeq, a predicted model, not a curated record